Molecule: long non-coding RNA, 2953 nt
Organism: Siniperca chuatsi (mandarin fish)
Lineage: Eukaryota; Metazoa; Chordata; Actinopteri; Centrarchiformes; Sinipercidae
Exons: 2
Source: RefSeq, a predicted model, not a curated record
AAAUAAAAUCAGGCAUGUAAAAACUACAGCAAUACAAUGAAAUGAAAUAAAAAAAAAUAAAACCCCCAACAAUAAAUAUAAUUACUAAUAAUAAAACAGAUAUGAUAUAUUGGCAAUAAAACAGAGCACUAGAAUUAAUAAAAGGCAUUUUUGAAAAGAUACGUUUUGAGAAGUGAUUUAAAAGAUGUCACUGAUUCAGCAAGCCUCAGAUCCUCAGGUAGGGAGUUCCAGAGCCUAGGGGCCCUGACUGCAAAAGCCCGGUCACCUUUAGUUUUGUGCCGGGACUCGGGUACAGCCAGCAGAGCCCUGCCUGAGGAUCUGAGGCUGCGCCCUGGCUCAUAGGGGAGCAGCAGUUCAGCAAUGUAGCUGGGAGCUGGACCAUGAAGUGCUUUAAAGGUGAUCAGUAAAAUCUUAAAAUCAAGUCUAAAAUUAACUGGUAAUCAGUGAAGAGAGGGUAAAACAGGUCUGAUAUGGUCAUGUCCUCUAGUGCUUGUCAAAAGCCAAGCAGCUGCGUUUUGUACCAGAUGAAGGCGUGAGAUGUUUUUAGUCUAAUGAGAAGAAAUAAAAGCAUGAAUGACCUUCUCAGGAUCAGGUCAAGAGAGAAAAGACCUGAUCUUUGAGAUGCUCCUUAAUUGAUAAAAACAUGAUCUAACAACAUUUGUAAUUUGUUUUUCAAAUGAAAGUUCACUGUCAAAUAUCACACUUUCUGGCUGCGGGUUUGACAUUGGAAGACGGGGAUCCAAGCUGUUUAUGCACAAUCAGGAUGGACUUUGAGGGGCCAAAGAGAAUUAUUUUAGAUUUAUUUUAAUUUAGCUGGAGAAGGUUUUGGACAUCCAGCACUUAAUUUCUGACAGACAGUAUAGAAGAUGAUUAAAACUGCCUUCAUCACUGAUUUUUAAUGGGACAUACAUUUGUGUGUCAUCUGCAUAACAACGGUACUGGAUUUUAUGUUUAGUUAUGAUCUGUCCCAGUGGUAGCAUGUAUAUACAGAACAUCAAGGGGCCAAGGAUGAACCCUUGGGAAACACCACAGGUCAGAGGGGCCACAGAAGAGGAGGCAUUACCCAUGACCACUGAGAAAGUCCUGUUUGAUAAAUAGGAUUUUAACCAUUUUAGAGCAGUGUCCUUGAUGCCAGCUCACUGUUCAAAGUGGUCCGAUAGGAUGGAGUGAUCAACAGUGUCAAAUGCAGAGCUCAUGUUACAAUCUAUUCAUAAUUUUGUCAUCACGAUUGUCCAUGUAAUUUUAUUAUGUUGCUCUAAUCUGUACACACGACAUUUAUUGCAUGUCUGUCCGUCCUGUUGCUCUUCCUGGGCUUUCUUCCAUUUUUUCAUCCAAAUCGAGGGUCUAAGGACAGAGGGUGUCGUAUGCUGAACAGAUUGUGAAGCCUCCUGAGGUAAAUAUGUGAUUUGAGGGUUAGGGUUAGGACAAUUAGGGUUAGGGUUAUCCAAUUGACUUGACUUGACACACAAUCAGGGCCAAUAGGAAGCUGCAUAGAGGGAAACUGAGUAUGCUACUAUGUGUAUCCCUCCUUUAACUCAUCAUGACAGUGUGAUUACAAAUGUUUUACCACUCUCUUUACCAUCAUCCCAGUUUCUUUAUAGUGUAAACUACUUUGUACAGCGUAAGAUUCUUUGAAACAAGUUUCUAUUAUCAUGAUAAUCUUAAAACUUAUCACAAAUAGUAAAACAUGGAGAGAGGUGCUGCCUGUGUUAUAGUUUGAGGUUUUGUCAUUUCCUGUUUUAUUUUGUAGUGUGUUCCUCUCCUUGCGUGACUUGGGGUUUUACUUUCUGUCUUUGUUUGCCUUCCCUCCAGGUUUGAUUGUUGGCCCCACCUUGAUUGUUUGCACCUGUGUCUCGUUGUCUCACCUCCCUUACGGUAUUUAGUCCAGUUCCUUUCCCGUGUGUGUGCGUGUGUGUCUGUUAGGUGCAUUUUUUGUUGUACCUUGUCCCUGUUCCCAUGCACAGUUCCUGGCAUUUCUUCCCGUGGGUUUGUUGGUAUGGAUUCUUUGUCUCCCUUGGACCGUGUCUGGAUUUUGGACUUUACACUUAGCAUGCUCCCUGUCAGAUUUGUUUAGCCUCUUUGGACUCACUUCCCUGUUUCCACCACUGCCAGCUGGUAACCCAUUACCUAUUACUUGGACCUGUAUCUGGCUACCUGCCUAUUACCUGUUUGUUGUCUGUCUGCCUGUACCUGCCUGUAAGCCACUUCACCCCAAUAAACAUUGUAGCCAUCCGGCUACUUCAUACUCAUACCGCUUCCUGGUCAUCUGCAUUUGGGUCCACAUAGUUGCGAGAGGAAGGGGGCCCACAGAGACUGCUUAUGUAUAGGGCCCAGAAUUUUGUGCUAUAUCACUGAGUGUACACGCAGUUUUCUAGAGACAGCGGUGGGUGAUGUAAUGAGAAGAUUAAAUAUGAGUCAGGUUCCGGUCUCGUUAAUGACUAAGGAUAGGACGCUAGUUCCCCUGAAUCAUUAAACGCCUUGGACUCCCUUUUCCUGAGCAGACUACUACCAGCCUCCAGUACCCAGUACCUCGUCUCCGGCUCCUUCGUGCUCCUGUUCUCCGUGUGUGUCUACAGUCCUCCGUGAGUCUACCAGCCACCGGUACCCAGUGCCUCUUCUCCGGCUCCUUCGUGCUCCUGGUCUCCGUGUGUGGCACUCCAGCUCCAGUCCCCGUGUGUCUCCAGUCCUCCGUGAGUCUACCAGCCACCGGUACCCAGUACCUCUUCUCCGGCUCCUUCGUGCUCCUGGUCUCCGUGCGUCUCCAGUCCUCCGUGAGUUAUCCACUCCAGUUCCUGGUCCCGUGCGUCUCUAGUCUUCCGUGAGUGUCGCUCCAGUCUCCUGACCCGUGUGGACCUAAUACUCAGUGCUCCGCCACCUCCAUUCCAAGGACUGUAUACUUUCUUCCAUUCACUAUCAACGUACCUGUGUAAUAAUAAACUCUAUCAUACCUGCC